GCAGUCGUGGCCGAGUGGUUAAGGCGAUAGACUAGAAAUCUAUUGGGAUCUUCCCGCACAGGUUCGAAUCCUAUCGACUGCG
Molecule: transfer RNA, 82 nt
Filed under: Cordylochernes scorpioides
Lineage: Eukaryota; Metazoa; Arthropoda; Arachnida; Pseudoscorpiones; Chernetidae
Description: tRNA-Ser
Rfam family: tRNA
About the family: Transfer RNA (tRNA) molecules are approximately 80 nucleotides in length. Their secondary structure includes four short double-helical elements and three loops (D, anti-codon, and T loops).
Source: RNAcentral